This 843-nucleotide ribosomal RNA is filed under the name uncultured archaeon. RNAcentral's name for it is "bacterial SSU rRNA". It matches the Rfam family "Archaeal small subunit ribosomal RNA", at positions 85 to 924 of the family's 1478-position model. The record is from RNAcentral.
ACGGCUCAGUUAACACNUGGNCAAACUACCCUACAGACCGCAAUAACCUCGGGAAACUGAGGCCAAUAGCGGAUAUAACUCUCAUGCUGGAGUGCAGAGAGUUAGAAACGUUCCGGCGCUGUAGGAUGUGGCUGCGGCCGAUUAGGUAGAUGGUGGGGUAACGGCCCACCAUGCCGAUAAUCGGUACAGGUUGUGAGAGCAAGAGCCUGGAGACGGUAUCUGAGACAAGAUACCGGGCCCUACGGGGCGCAGCAGGCGCGAAACCUUUACACUGCACGACAGUGCGAUAGGGGGACUCCGAGUGUGAGGGCAUAUAGCCCUCGCUUUUCUGUACCGUAAGGUGGUACAGGAACAAGGACUGGGCAAGACCGGUGCCAGCCGCCGCGGUAAUACCGGCAGUCCGAGUGAUGGCCGAUAUUAUUGGGCCUAAAGCGUCCGUAGCUUGCUGUGUAAGUCCAUUGGGAAAUCGACCAGCUCAACUGGUCGGCGUCCGGUGGAAACUACACAGCUUGGGGCCGAGAGACUCAACGGGUACGUCCGGGGUAGGAGUGAAAUCCUGUAAUCCUGGCGGACCACCAAUGGGGAAACCACGUUGAGAGACCGGACCCGACAGUGAGGGACGAAAGCCAGGGUCUCGAACCGGAUUAGAUACCCGGGUAGUCCUGGCUGUAAACAAUGCUCGCUAGGUAUGUCACGCGCCAUGAGCACGUGAUGUGCCGUAGUGAAGACGAUAAGCGAGCCGCCUGGNAAGUACGUCCGCCAAGGAUGAAACUUAAAGGAAUUGGCGGGGGAGCAUCCNCAACCGGAGGAGCCUGCGGUUUAAUUGGAGCUCAACCCCCGGAA